This 496-nucleotide ribosomal RNA is filed under the name uncultured bacterium. RNAcentral's name for it is "bacterial SSU rRNA". It matches the Rfam family "Bacterial small subunit ribosomal RNA", at positions 28 to 521 of the family's 1533-position model. The record is from RNAcentral.
GAUGAACGCUGGCGGCGUGCUUAAUACAUGCAAGUCGAACGAAGCACCUUGGACAGAAUCCUUCGGGAGGAAGACCAUUGUGACUGAGUGGCGGACGGGUGAGUAACGCGUGGGUAACCUGCCUUGUACAGGGGGAUAACAGUUGGAAACGACUGCUAAUACCGCAUAAGCGCACAGUACCGCAUGGUACGGUGUGAAAAACUCCGGUGGUACAAGAUGGACCCGCGUCUGAUUAGCUUGUUGGUGAGGUAACGGCCCACCAAGGCGACGAUCAGUAGCCGACUUGAGAGAGUGAUCGGCCACAUUGGGACUGAGACACGGCCCAAACUCCUACGGGAGGCAGCAGUAGGGAAUAUUGCACAAUGGGGGAAACCCUGAUGCAGCGACGCCGCGUGAAGGAAGAAGUAUUUCGGUAUGUAAACUUCUAUCAGCAAGGAAGAAAAUGACGGUACUUGACUAAGAAGCCCCGGCUAAAUAACGUGCCAGCAGCCGCGGU